CGAGUGUUCCCACAAUUUAAUGAAACCAAUUAGAAAGACCCGGCGAUUAACAGGACAGAGAGUCGGAGCGAUUCACGAUGGGCUUUAUCUCUAUCUUCGGCGACAAGCAACAACAAAGGCUGUCCGAUGUUUCAGGAUUCAAGAAAAUCCAAGGGUUGAGGAGAAUCUGAUCCAAUUUAUUGUCAUUAACUUGGGAAAUUAUGUGGAAAAGAGAGGAUUGCCUGCUGGAGUAAAUUGGGAAGUUGCCUUGUACUUGAAAUUGCAGGAGACAGUGCACUGACAUGCUUCACAAGGUCAUGGAGUCUGUAGUCCCUGUUGACAACAAUUGGGUGAUGAAUGAGUUGUUUGGAACAGGUGAGACUUCCUCUUGAUUUCAAGAACUUCGGAUUAUACUUUCAUUUGCACUAUCAAUUUGAAUCUAUUUUACCAAGUUGAUGUAUGAGAGAUUCUACUUGGCAGCCUUUUUCCCCCAAUUUUGUAUAUCUUUUGCUUUCAUUUAAUCUCUAAUCCAAUUUUCUCAUAUUUUUGUGAGAGAUCUAUAUAAGAUUUUGCAAUUUAGAAGUCAUGCUUUACUUUGUAUCAACUUCACCUAGUCAUAAAUAAUGGCGCACUCAAAUUUACCAUUGCACAGGAAGCAGUAUGAGGCCAAUUUUGAGUAUCCUGAUGUAUUUGAAUGACUGCUACAGAUAGAUAUAAUGGUUUUUUGGUCUGAGUGAUGUCAAUUCAACGCUUUUUGUUCAUUUCAUUUUUUAAAUUUCUAACAACUAGCCAUAGUUCACAGAGAUUGAGGAAUGACUCAAAUAAGAAAGGUAAAAUCUUUCUUCAUAUAAUUGUACAAAGUCGUCGUUGUCUUAUUACAUGAUGUGUACAGUUCCAAGAGUAGGAGUUCGUACUAUGAGUUGGAUCAUGUCAUUAACAAUUAGCAUCUAAUGGCCAAGCUUCCUAUAGUUCUGCUGUCCAUCCAUGUAUAACAGAGAAAUGUUAGGCUUAUUUAAUUCGUUUUAAUACAGUAAUCAACAAGUCAUAUAUCAUCCACAAGGCAUCUAGCAGCAUAAUGAUAAAAAUGAUGCAAAUUGGAUGAUGAGAAGCAGAUGAGUAUUGUAAUUUAUAUGCAACAGUUGUUGUACAUCAUCCUGGCUUUUCAUUUGCAUGGAAUUUUGAGGUGACUCUUAGGAAACUGAAUUUACAAUUACUGUUGGUAUAUAUCUGUGACUUAGAACUUCUAAUGCAGUUUUUGCUCUAAGUUUUAGUGGUUAGUUUUAAAAAGGAGUUCAUUCUAGGCAAGCAACUAAAGGACUUAAUAUGGACACUUCCAUUCAUCGUAUCUUUGUUAAGGGAUCUGAAAUGCUGCAGAUUAUACUUUUUGCUUCCAAUGUGAAAAUUUAAUAUAGAUUUUUAAUAUAUGAGAUUCUUUUGACAAAAAAAGAUGUUGUAUGUAAUCUAGUAAGAGCAACUCUAAUGGUUUUCAUGCUUAUUGGAUUAUCUAAUUCAGGGAUCUACUGGAGGUCAUGUCAUGGUAACAUUAUGAUGUCAUUUGAUAUUUUAGUUGAUUGGUAUUUGACAAUAACUUUCCUUACUAUAGUUUGUUAGAGCAACUCUAAAGUCUAGAUACACUAGAAGGGAGCAGCUAAAAUAGUUUUAGACUCAUGUACUAGGUACAGAUGAGCUUCCUUACAUGUUUGGCUGCUUGCAUUCCAUAGGUUAGAAUAAGGACAGAUGAGCUUGCGUUCAUUAGUGGAAAACUGCUUAAGCAGAAACUAUGACACAGUUGGAAGCUAUUGGAGUCAAGAGAUUACAGGUAAGUUACUUUACCUUAACAGGUGAUGAAAGUCAUUUUUCUUUUACUUUUGUUAAAGGGUAUUGAUUUCAACAAGACAGCAGGGAAAACAGGGCAACCAUACGACUACCUCUCUGAUGGCAAAUGUAGCAAGCGGGACGGAAGAUUAUCUAAUACGGAGGAGGAAUAUCUUUGAUCCUACAAAGAAACUGAAUGACAUAAAAAUAGAUAUGACUUAUCUGGAAUGGUACAAGAAGGUGUCAAUUGAGCAGGGAGGAUACUAUGAUAGUUACAAACUUUGGCGUUGGAAAAGUCGGGAUGAAAUCAAAAGCAGACAUGAAAUCAUGAAGCGCAAGAGAAUUCUCACUCGAUACUGGAGAGGCAUAGUUGAUGAAGUAGAGCAAAUGCCUCAAAAAGAAGGGGUGGCUUUUCAGACUCGUUGGCUUUAUGCAGGAACCAAUUACCAAAGAAUGGUUGAACCACUUGAAAAUAGAUAGACAAUAGAUGGUUUGGGUUGGAGAAGUUAUUGAGCGGAAAAAUCAGGAAAGUAGAGGUUUUGAUUAGUUAUUUUUUCUUAAAAAAGGAAGGAAAGGGUGUUGGGGAAUGAAUACAACAGAAUCCUGCUAUUAGCUGGCAAUCUUAAAAAUAGAAGCCGGGUCCACUCUUUAUUCAAUUUUUGAUUAUUUUCAUAUAAUAAUAAUACAAUAGGGAUAUUCUUUUCUAGAGAAGUUUUGAGUAGUGAGGAUGCAAGAUGUAUAUCGCAAUGGCAUGGCAUGUGAUUGACAAUGGAUCACAAGCAAUUUAUUUAUUGCAUAAGGAAAAAUUUUUAUUC
This is a long non-coding RNA of Coffea arabica (coffee), 2609 nucleotides long. RefSeq lists it as uncharacterized. NCBI's taxonomy places the organism in Eukaryota, Viridiplantae, Streptophyta, Magnoliopsida, Gentianales, Rubiaceae. The record is from RefSeq and is a predicted model, not a curated record.